AGCCAUGCAUGUCCAAGUACGUGCCGCAGUAAGGUGAAACCGCGAAUGGCUCAUUAAAUCAGUUAUGGUUCCUCUGACGGUACCCUCCUAGUUGGAUACCUGUGGCAAUUCCAGAGCUAAUACAUGCAUCAGAGCUCCGACCCUCGGGGACGAGCGCUUUUAUUAGACCAAAACCAAUCGGGCCUCGUGCCCGUGAAGUGUGGUGACUCUGUGUAACUUUGGGCAGAUCGCACGGGCUCGUCCCGGCGACAUAUCUUUCGAGUGUCUGCCUUAUCAACUGUCGAUGGUAGGUUACGCGCCUCCCGUGGUCGUAACGGGUGACGGGGAAUCAGGGUUCGAUUCCGGAGAGGGAGCCUGAGAAACGGCUACCACAUCCAAGGAAGGCAGCAGGCGCGCAAAUUACCCAAUCCCGGUUCGGGGAGGUAGUGACGAAAAAUAACGAUACGGGACUCUUUUGAGAACCCGUAAUUGGAAUGAGUACACUCCAAAUCCUUUAACGAGUAUCUAUUGGAGGGAAAGUCUGAUGCCAGCAGCCGCGGUAAUUUCAGCUCCAAUGGCGUAUAUUAAAGUUGUUGCGGUUAAAAAGCUCGUAGUUGAAUCUCAGUUCCAGAGGGUCGGUCCGCCUAUCGGUGGUACCGGCCUCUUCUGAACAUGUCGCCGGUUUGCCUGGGUGAUCUUCACCGGUUGUCUGGGUUGACCGGAUCUUUUUACUUUGAAAAAAUUAGAGUGCUCAAAGCAGGCCGAGAGCCUGGAUAGUGGUGCAUGGAAUGAUGGAAUAGGACCUCGGUUCUAUGUUGUUGGUUUUCGGAACACGAGGUAAUGAUUAAGAGGGACGGACGGGGGCAUUCGUAUUGCGGCGCUAGAGGUGAAAUUCUUGGACCGUCGCAAGACGAACUACUGCGAAAGCAUUUGCCAAGAAUGCUUCCUUUAAUCAAGAACGAAAGUUAGAGGUUCGAAGGCGAUCAGAUACCGCCCUAGUUUUAACCAUAAACGAUGCCAGCCAGCGAUCCGGCUGUGUUCCUCAAAUGACACGCCGGGAAGCUUCCGGGAAACCAAAGCCUUUGGGUUCCGGGGGAAGUAUGGUUGCAAAGCUUAAACUUAAAGGAAUUGACGGAAGGGCACCACAAGCCAUGGAGCAUGCGGUUCAAUUUGACUCAACACGGGGAACCUUACCCAGCCCGGACACAGGAAGGAUUGACAGAUUAAGAGCUCUUUCUUGAUUCUGUGAGUGGUGGUGCAUGGCCGUUCUUAGUUGGUGGAGCGAUUUGUCUGCUUUAUUGCGAUAACGAACGAGACUCUAGCCUGUUAAAUAGACGUCUCGAUAAUAGAAGUCGGACGGUCUUCUUAGGGGGACAGGCGGCGACCAGCCGCACGAGACAGAGCAAUAACAGGUCUGUGAUGCCCUCAGAUGUCCGGGGCCACACGCGCGCUACAUUGAAGGAAUCAGCGUGUGCUUUCCCGGUCCGACGGGACUGGGUAACCCGCUGAACCUCCUUCGUGCUGGGGAUAGGGGCUUGCAAUUGUUCCCCUUGAACGAGGAAUGCCUAGUAAGCGCGAGUCAUCAGCUAGCGCUGAUUAGGUCCCUGCCCUUUGUACACACCGCCCGUCGCUACAAGCGAUUGAACGGUUCAGUGAGGUCUUCGGACCGGCGCUCGGAUCGGCCCUCCGGACCAGGCGAAGUGCCGGAAAGAUGACCGAACUUGAUCGUUUAGAGCAU
Molecule: ribosomal RNA, 1717 nt
Filed under: Nesticella dazhuangensis
Lineage: Eukaryota; Metazoa; Arthropoda; Arachnida; Araneae; Nesticidae
Description: SSU rRNA
Rfam family: Eukaryotic small subunit ribosomal RNA
Source: RNAcentral